GACGAACGCUGGCGGCGUGCUUAACACAUGCAAGUCGAACGGAAAGGCCCUGCCUUUGUGGGGUGCUCGAGUGGCGAACGGGUGAGUAACACGUGAGUAACCUGCCCUUGCCUUUGGGAUAACUUCAGGAAACUGGGGCUAAUACCGGCUAGGAGCUCCUGCUGCAUGGUGGGGGUUGGAAAGUUUCGGCGGUUGGGGAUGGACUCGCGGCUUAUCAGCUUGUUGGUGGGGUAGUGGCUUACCAAGGCUUUGACGGGUAGCCGGCCUGAGAGGGUGACCGGCCACAUUGGGACUGAGAUGCGGCCCAGACUCCUACGGGAGGCAGCAGUGGGGAAUAUUGCACAAUGGGCGGAAGCCUGAUGCAGCAACGCCGCGUGCGGGAUGACGGCCUUCGGGUUGUAAACCGCUUUCGCCUGUGACGAAGCGUGAGUGACGGUAAUGGGUAAAGAAGCACCGGCUAACUACGUG
Molecule: ribosomal RNA, 468 nt
Filed under: uncultured bacterium
Lineage: Bacteria
Description: partial 16S ribosomal RNA
Rfam family: Bacterial small subunit ribosomal RNA
Source: RNAcentral